CCGCCACCGAAACAGCGAGGGUGUAUCGAUGUUAGGGUGGGUCUCAUCUUCAUCAUCGGAUAUCUAAAAUCAAAUUGGCGAAUUCAGGUUAACGUAGGAUUAUAAACAACAGUGUCAACCAAAUUCAAAUAGUUUACAAAAAACGUUGCCCCACAUUAGGAUUUUCUCCUGUGUCGUUGGUGCGUUUACAAACAUACAAGUUCACAUGCACAUGACACCCAGACCCGAAACAACAAUUUGUGGAUCACACAAAGAACUCAUUGCCCAGCCACCGCACCAACCGUGCAGUCGAACGUUAACUAACUGUGGUGUGGUAAGGAUCGUGGUCAUAACUGUGGUGGUGGUUGUCAGCGCUUCGGUGGUAGCACUCGUGAUGUUCAGCGGCGCGUCCUCUUCAUCAUCUUGGCUCUGUGAGUCGUCAGGAAUACUGAUUUGGAACUGCAGCAACACUACGAGGUCUGUGUUUGUAAAUGCACACACGACACAGGAGCAAAUACGAGUACCUACUUAUGUGGCAAUAAAAAAAAACCGGUGUGAAUAGUAUUGACUUUAAAUAAAUAAGAAGGUACCUAACAACUGACAUGGGCGACAGAGUAGUCUACUUUGUCUACGAGUGCAAGCUACAAGGCUGUAAAGAUUGUUAGCCUAUGCCCUUCGUGUACUUGAACCUCGUCAAUGUGAGACUUGUUUGUAUAAGGAGUUAUCGACAUGGCACCGUUGACUUCUUCAUUGAAAUGCUAUACAAUAGAAGCUUAAUUUUUGUAAAAUCUAUUUUGGUAUUGUUUCAAUGUAAUUGCGUGACUUGGUAAAAUAUGUAGGUACUUAUACGGGUGUGAAUGGAAUGCUCCCAAAGGUGAUGGUAAAAAUUUAAAUUUAAAAAUAUUAUUUACAAAAAUUAAUACAAUGUUUAUGUUAUAUAAUCAUAGUUGUAAUCAAUUGUUUAAGACUGAGGUUGUAUGAAUAACACGAAAACUAAA
This is a long non-coding RNA of Spodoptera frugiperda (fall armyworm), 977 nucleotides long. RefSeq lists it as uncharacterized. Lineage: Eukaryota; Metazoa; Arthropoda; Insecta; Lepidoptera; Noctuidae. The transcript is spliced from 4 exons. The record is from RefSeq and is a predicted model, not a curated record.